CAGAGAAUAGUUUAUUUAAAAUAUUAAUUUUGGAGAUUAAUGAUAAGGGAUUCCUUUUCUCUGA
RNAcentral lists this transfer RNA (64 nucleotides) under Protaetia brevitarsis. RNAcentral's name for it is "tRNA-Pro". The record is from RNAcentral. RNAcentral also lists the same sequence under 1 other name. Lineage: Eukaryota; Metazoa; Arthropoda; Insecta; Coleoptera; Scarabaeidae.